CCUACGGGUGGCAGCAGUGAGGAAUAUUGGUCAAUGGACGAGAGUCUGAACCAGCCAAGUAGCGUGAAGGAUGACUGCCCUAUGGGUUGUAAACUUCUUUUAUAAAGGAAUAAAACGAGGCACGUGUGCCUUUUUGCAUGUACUUUAUGAAUAAGGAUCGGCUAACUCCGUGCCAGCCGCCGCGGUAAUACGGAGGAUCCGAGCGUUAUCCGGAUUUAUUGGGUUUAAAGGGAGCGUAGAUGGGUUGGUAAGUCAGUUGUGAAAGUUUGCGGCUCAACCGUAGAAUUGCAAUUGAUACUGGCAGUCUUGAGUACAGUUGAGGUAGGCGGAAUUCGUGGUGUAGCGGUGAAAUGCUUAGAUAUCACGAAGAACCCCGAUUGCGAAGGCAGCUUACUAAACUGUGACUGACAUUGAUGCUCGAAAGUGUGGGUAUCAAACAGGAUUAGAUACCCUUGUAGUC
This 460-nucleotide ribosomal RNA is filed under the name uncultured bacterium. RNAcentral's name for it is "partial 16S ribosomal RNA". It matches the Rfam family "Bacterial small subunit ribosomal RNA", at positions 338 to 795 of the family's 1533-position model. The record is from RNAcentral.